AGAGUUUGAUCCUGGCUCAGGAUGAACGCUAGCGGCAGGCUUAACACAUGCAAGUCGAGGGGCAGCGAGUAGAUUGCUUGCAAUCUAUGUCGGCGACCGGCGCACGGGUGCGUAACGCGUAUGCAACCUACCCAUUACAGGGGGAUAACACUGAGAAAUCGGUACUAAUACCCCAUAACAUCCAGGGAGGCAUCUUCUUGGGUUGAAAACUCCGGUGGUAAUGGAUGGGCAUGCGUUGUAUUAGUUAGUUGGUGGGGUAACGGCUCACCAAGACGACGAUACAUAGGGGGACUGAGAGGUUAACCCCCCACAUUGGUACUGAGACACGGACCAAACUCCUACGGGAGGCAGCAGUGAGGAAUAUUGGUCAAUGGACGCAAGUCUGAACCAGCCAUGCCGCGUGCAGGAAGACGGCUCUAUGAGUUGUAAACUGCUUUUGUACGAGGGUAAACGCAGAUACGUGUAUCUGUCUGAAAGUAUCGUACGAAUAAGGAUCGGCUAACUCCGUGCCAGCAGCCGCGGUAAUACGGAGGAUUCAAGCGUUAUCCGGAUUUAUUGGGUUUAAAGGGUGCGUAGGCGGUCGGAUAAGUUAGAGGUGAAAUCCCGGGGCUCAACUUCGGAAUUGCCUCUGAUACUGUUCGGCUAGAGAGUAGUUGCGGUAGGCGGAAUGUAUGGUGUAGCGGUGAAAUGCUUAGAGAUCAUACAGAACACCGAUUGCGAAGGCAGCUUACCAAGCUACUUCUGACGUUGAGGCACGAAAGCGUGGGGAGCAAACAGGAUUAGAUACCCUGGUAGUCCACGCAGUAAACGAUGAUAACUCGUUGUCGGCGAUACAAUGUCGGUGACUAAGCGAAAGCGAUAAGUUAUCCACCUGGGGAGUACGUUCGCAAGAAUGAAACUCAAAGGAAUUGAC
RNAcentral lists this ribosomal RNA (913 nucleotides) under uncultured bacterium. Its description in RNAcentral is "bacterial SSU rRNA". It matches the Rfam family "Bacterial small subunit ribosomal RNA", at positions 8 to 914 of the family's 1533-position model. The record is from RNAcentral.